AAUUAGAUGCGCUCGCGAUGGUCCUUGAAAACCCGAGUGAGGUAAUUAUUCCAUACCAGGCCGUACCAAUAACCGCAUCAGGUCUCCAAGGUUAGCAGCCUCUGGUCGAUUAGAAGAAUGUAGAUAAGGGAAGUCGGCAAAUUAGAUCUGUAACUUCGGGAAAAGUAUUGGCUCUGAGGAUAAUAUCUGUGUGAGGCGGUACCGGCGAUGACGGUCGAGUCAGUUGCGGUCUGCUUGUUUCGGCUUGUGGAUCGCUUCGCGGCGAGGCCUGAUUCCGUCCGGACUGCCGCCUUGCAUUCGUUUGUAUUCGUACAAUCAAAAUUACUCUGAACUGGAGCAGACCACGGGAAUCCGACUGUUUAAUUAAAACAAAGUGUUGUGAUGGCCUUAGCAGGUGUUGACACAACUUGAUUUCUGCCCAGUGCUCUGAAUGUAAAACUGGAGAUAAUAUAAGUAAUACAAAUUCAAG
Molecule: ribosomal RNA, 469 nt
Filed under: uncultured eukaryote
Lineage: Eukaryota
Description: eukaryotic LSU rRNA
Rfam family: Eukaryotic large subunit ribosomal RNA
Source: RNAcentral